CGGCGGCGAAGGCGGUAACCUGGUCUGUUACUGACGCUCAGGCACGAAAGCGUGGGGAGCAAAUAGGAUUAGAUACCCUAGUAGUCCACGCCCUAAACGAUGAUUACUAAAUGUUGGGGAAACUCAGUGUUGUAGCUAACGCAAUAAGUAAUCCGCCUGGGGAGUAUGCACGCAAGUGUGAAACUUAAAGGAAUUGACGGGGCCCCGCACAAGCGGUGGAGUAUGCGGUUUAAUUCGACGCAACGCGAAGAACCUUACCAGGGCUUGACAUCCCCUGCAAAACUAUAGAGAUAUGGCAGAGGUUAUCAGGGUGACAGGUGGUGCAUGGUUGUCGUCAGCUCGUGUCGUGAGAUGUUGGGUUAAGUCCCGCAACGAGCGCAACCCUUGUCUUUAGUUACCAUCAUUUAGUUGGGGACUCUAGAGGGACUGCCGGUGAUAAACCGGAGGAAGGUGGGGAUGACGUCAAAUCAUCAUGCCCUUUAUGUCUUGGGCUACACGCGGACUACAAUGGCGUACACAACAAGAAGCAAUACAGCGAUGUGGAGCAAAACUUACAAAUUACGUCUCAGUUCGGAUCGAAGUCUGCAACCCGACUUCGUGA
Molecule: ribosomal RNA, 601 nt
Filed under: uncultured bacterium
Lineage: Bacteria
Description: bacterial SSU rRNA
Rfam family: Bacterial small subunit ribosomal RNA
Source: RNAcentral